AUGGCAGCGCUGGUUUCUUUGAUGGAGAUCGGAGGGAGCCCAGGGAGGGCGAGCCCUCAAAGCCAGCGGCGGCUCAAGCGAUGCCGAGCGCCCCGCCGGCUCCAGGCCUCCCAAACGCUGCCUGCAGCCUGCUGGGAAGCCCCGACCGGCCACGAAGGCAGCCGGGCGAUAGCCGAGAGCCCUCCACCGAAGCUCCCCGGGUCGCACAUCCCCCCGGGGCCGUCCCGCCCGCGGGGAGCUCACCUGGCGGCGGUUGCGGACAGACGGCGAGGCGCUGGCGGACAGACGGACGGGCUGAGGGGGCCGGGGUCGCCUCACGCCCCCCCCGCCCCCCUCAGGCGCCGCUCCCGGCGGACAAAAGCGGGGCGGCCGCCGCCGCCGGGCUGCCCUGGCAGGCACGGGGGGGCCGCGCUGGUGCUGGCGGCGGCUCCCGGCCCCGGCCGGCCCCUCACGGCCGCCGCCGCCGCUGCCCCGCCUGGGCCCGGCCGCGGAGCGCUCGGAGCGCGGAGCCGCCGCCGGGAGGCGCCGCUGCCAUGUUGCGGCCGCCGGGGGGGGAGAGGGGCGGUGCCGCCGGGCGCCAUGGAAACGGCUCGCCCAUUGGCUCUUCCGCCCGUCAAUCGCGGCCCGGCGGGCCAAUGGGAGGAGGAGGCGGCCAGCAGCGCGGCGUUCGGACUGGGGAUGGUGCGGCACAGCGGCGGGGAGCGGAGGGGAGGGAGGGGAGGGAGGGGAGGGGGCUGCGAGACCGCCUCGGGCUUCCCGCGCUCGGCGGCUCGCGCCCGGCCCGCCCUGAGGGGAGCGCCUCACGCCCCAGCCCCAGCCCCUGAGUGCGUCCCGAGCGUCCCCAUAAACCAGCACGGGCUGAGACCGGCCACCAGCCCUGCCAAACGCGCCUGUAAUAAAAGCAAACACGCUUGUAAUCAAAGCAUUUCCAGGGGGAAGCGCCUCCCCGCUUCGAGCGUGGCGGUGGGGAAGUCCAAUUCAGUCCUCGCAUCUCUGUCAAAUAUUUACUUCCAAAUCCUACACGUCAAAUGUUGA
Molecule: long non-coding RNA, 1035 nt
Filed under: Cairina moschata (Muscovy duck)
Lineage: Eukaryota; Metazoa; Chordata; Aves; Anseriformes; Anatidae
Description: domestica (muscovy Duck (domestic type)) lncRNA (ENSCMMG00000002194.1)
Source: RNAcentral